Molecule: ribosomal RNA, 420 nt
Filed under: uncultured archaeon
Lineage: Archaea
Description: partial 16S ribosomal RNA
Rfam family: Archaeal small subunit ribosomal RNA
Source: RNAcentral
CUACGGGCGGCAGCAGGCGCGAAACCUUUACAAUGCACGAAAGUGUGAUAAGGGGAUCCCAAGUGCUCAACACUGUUGAGCUUUUGCCAAGUUUAGAACGCUUGGCGAAUAAGGGGUGGGUAAGACUGGUGCCAGCCGCCGCGGUAACACCAGCGCCCCAAGUGGCAAUCGCGAUUAUUGGGCCUAAAGCGUUCGUAGCAGGUUCUGUAAAUCUUUUGUGAAAUCGGCAGGCUUAACCUGUCGGCGUGCAGAAGACACUGCAGGACUCGAGACCGGGAGAAGUCAGAAGUAUUCCUGGGGUGCCGGUAAAAUGGGUUAAUCCCAGGAGGACUACCAAUGGCGAAGGCAUCUGACCAGAACGGAUCUGACUGUGAGGAACGAAAGCUAGGGGAGCAAAACGGAUUAGAUACCCCAGUAGUC